RNAcentral lists this ribosomal RNA (254 nucleotides) under uncultured bacterium. RNAcentral describes it as "partial 16S ribosomal RNA". It matches the Rfam family "Bacterial small subunit ribosomal RNA", at positions 524 to 776 of the family's 1533-position model. The record is from RNAcentral.
UACGUAGGGGGCGAGCGUUGUCCGGAUUUAUUGGGCGUAAAAGGCUUGUAGGUGGCCACGUCAAGUCGGAUGUGAAAUCUCCCGGCUCAACUGGGAGGGGUCAUUCGAUACUGGCGGGCUCGAGGCCGGUAGGGGGAAGCGGAAUUCCCGGUGUAGUGGUGGAAUGCGUAGAUAUCGGGAGGAAUACCAGUGGCGAAGGCGGCGACCUGGGCCAAUACUGACGCUGAGGUGCGAAAGCGUGGGGAGCAAACAGG